UAAUACAUGGGGUGCAAACGUUGCUCGGAAUCAUUGGGCGUAAAGCGCGCGUAGGCGGUUAUUUAAGUUGGAUGUGAAAGCCCUCGGCUUAACUGAGGAAGUGCAUCCAAAACUGAAUAGCUAGAGUACGAAAGAGGGUCGCGGAAUUCCCGGUGUAGAGGUGAAAUUCGUAGAUAUCGGGAGGAACACCGGUGGCGAAGGCGGCGACCUGGGUCGAGACUGACGCUGAGGCGCGAAAGCGUGGGGAGCAAACAGGAUUAGAUACCCUGGUAGUCCACGCCGUAAACGAUGGGUGCUAGAUGUUUCUGGUAUUGACCCCGGAGGCGUCGUAGCUAACGCGUUAAGCACCCCGCCUGGGGAGUACGGCCGCAAGGCUA
This 377-nucleotide ribosomal RNA is filed under the name uncultured bacterium. RNAcentral's name for it is "bacterial SSU rRNA". It matches the Rfam family "Bacterial small subunit ribosomal RNA", at positions 521 to 896 of the family's 1533-position model. The record is from RNAcentral.